RNAcentral lists this ribosomal RNA (216 nucleotides) under Glomeromycotina sp. RNAcentral describes it as "partial small subunit ribosomal RNA". The stretch from base 40 to 216 matches the Rfam family "Eukaryotic small subunit ribosomal RNA", at positions 686 to 864 of the family's 1831-position model. Lineage: Eukaryota; Fungi; Glomeromycota. The record is from RNAcentral.
GGGUCAGUAGGUUGGUCGUGCCACCGGUACGUACUGGUCUCAUUGAUUCCUCCUUCCUGAAGAACCGUAAUGCCAUUAAUUUGGUGUUGCGGGGAAACAGGACUGUUACUUUGAAAAAAUUAGAGUGUUUAGAGCAAGCUAACGCUUGAAUACAUUAGCAUGGAAUAAUGAAAUAGGACGAUCGAUCCUAUUUUGUUGGUUUCUAGGAUUGACGUA